This is a long non-coding RNA of Lathyrus oleraceus (garden pea), 1569 nucleotides long. RefSeq lists it as uncharacterized. The record is from RefSeq and is a predicted model, not a curated record. NCBI's taxonomy places the organism in Eukaryota, Viridiplantae, Streptophyta, Magnoliopsida, Fabales, Fabaceae. The transcript is spliced from 2 exons.
AACAGGCCUGCAGCAAGACAUACACUCACAUGGUUAUUCAAUCAAUACUAAUUGUGAUGAUUAACAAGCAGAUAACAUAUCACAUUUAUAAUGCCUCAUAACCAUACAAUAUCAACAUGGAAUAACAUUUAACAAUCAUCAACAACAACAUCUAUGCAUUCCACACCAUAACUGAACAAUCACAUACAUGACUAACAGGGCCCGAUUCAUAACUAACCCAAAUAACAGUGAAUUAACAUAAAUUCAUCAAAAAAACUAUCACUUCAUAAGACCAUCUAACCUUCACACCAUAUUCCCUAACCAACCUGAAACAUAAUUGCUAACUAUCAGUCAACCAAUUAAUAGCUAACUAAUUUCUCAACUCAAAACUAAAUUUAGUUCACUAACAAAAACCAAUUCCCAACUGACUUUAAUUACAUCAACUACCUUCAACAACCUAACAAAAUUCAAUUGCAAAAUUCCAACCACCUAAGCAACUGAAUAACCAUUUAUAUAACCUAAUCAUUCAUCAACUGCAUCAACCUAGCGCUCACUCAUAUCCCAUUCACCAUAAAAAACUCUCUGACCCUCUAUCCCCAUUCACCCUUCCAUUUUCUUGAAUUCAUCAUCAUUGAGUAAGCUCUCAAACUCUCUCUUAUUUCCCAUUUUUCUUCACCAAAUUCAUCAUCUCUGCUGAGACUCGAGGAUCAUCACAUUCAUCAUCAAUCUCACAAUCAUUCAUCACUCAACUUCAUAAAUCAACCUCACUCUCAAUUGAUCAAACUCAAUCAUAAUUUGUUCAUCAACUCAUAUCAACAUCAAACAUGACUCGACUUGGAACAAAAUUAAACACCAGAAAAAAUAAGGAGAAGAAGAGGAUCAAUCAAAUGCAGAAACAAAAAGAGUUACGGAGUUAAGAACUUACCGGAAGCCUCGUUGUUGUUAUCAUCUUCUCUGGAGAAGGUAGUGUGUGCAUCCACCAAUGCCUCAUCAAGCUCAUAUAUAAGGUUUGAGACCUUCAGUGCGAGGAGAUCAAUCAAGGAAUGAUUCACAUUAUUUCUAUACAUCAUAUAUGAAUCACCAUGAUCUUAACUUAUCAUUUUUAUCAAGAAAUCAUCAAGAGUUUGAAGCUUGUUUGCCUUGGAAGCCCUAAUUCAUCAGGGUAUCUUGUGUGACUUCCUUAACAAGUUUAUUCAAAAUUUAAUCAAAUAUUUAAAUGGAUACUUCAUAUUACAUCAUCGUAUACAUAUGUUAUCCUCCAUGGGUCUCAAAUAUCAAGAGAACUUCAAGUUUUCAAGUUGGUUCAUGGUGGUUGAUCAGAGAAAUUCAACUAGUCAAAACUGGGGUUCCCUAGACCCUAUCUCCUAAACUUUUAUUCAUAUGAAAAUUAUUACAAGAUAAAAUUUACUCCUUAUUAUAAUCCAAACAACUUUCAUGUUUAUGUCAAGUUCUAGUUUUUCUUGGAAAGUCAUUUUUAUGGUGAAAGAUUAUAGGUCAUUUUGUUUAUGCCCUAGUGAGGAGGUUAACUUCCAAGGACCAUAACUUGCUCAAUUUUUAUGAUAUUAAGUCCAUCCAAGUUUAAUGAUCAAA